CCUACGGGAGGCAGCAGUGGGGAAUAUUGCACAAUGGGGGAAACCCUGAUGCAGCGACGCCGCGUGAGUGAAGAAGUAUUUCGGUAUGUAAAGCUCUAUCAGCAGGGAAGAAAAUGACGGUACCUGAUUAAGAAGCCCCGGCUAACUACGUGCCAGCAGCCGCGGUAAUACGUAGGGGGCAAGCGUUAUCCGGAUUUACUGGGUGUAAAGGGAGCGUAGACGGCAGCACAAGUCUGGAGUGAAAUGCCGGGGCUUAACCCCGGAACUGCUUUGGAAACUGGGCAGCUUGAGUGCAGGAGAGGUAAGUGGAAUUCCUAGUGGAGCGGUGAAAUGCGUAGAUAUUAGGAGGAACACCAGUGGCGAAGGCGGCUUACUGGAAUGUAACUGACGUUGAGGCUCGAAAGCGUGGGGAGCAAACAGGAUUAGAUACCCGGGUAGUC
This 440-nucleotide ribosomal RNA is filed under the name uncultured bacterium. RNAcentral's name for it is "partial 16S ribosomal RNA". It matches the Rfam family "Bacterial small subunit ribosomal RNA", at positions 338 to 795 of the family's 1533-position model. The record is from RNAcentral.